AGGAAGCAGGACUGGUAAGUAUUACACGUGUCAGAGAAACGAGAGAGAGCUCUUGGUCUCGGUCGCGGUUGGAAACCUCGCCUGUGAGGGCCAGACGGUAAACAUUUCGGGUUCGUGCUCCAGCAGCAGCUCUCAAGCCCACACAACCCAGAGUCUGCUACUUGACCAUCCCACGGUGGGCUCUGAGGUUCCAGAAAACAUCAGCACCCUUUACAGUCACUUUCCGGAGAAAAGGCACUUAUUUUGAGAACAUACUUGUUGGAUGGAGACAACCUGUCUUGGGAGCAAGCCCAAAGAACUGCUGUUUUUCUGAACAGUUCUCAAUCUUUUUAAAAGGACUUUAAAAAUUACACAAUAAAUACUUGUUAUAGAAAAAACACAUAAUGAGAAGUAAAUAUAAAGAUAUAACGUGUGCGUCUCUGUGCGUGAAUAGAAUAUACACCUGUAAUGGGCUACGAGAGAUAAUUCAGGUUUUAGUACUAAAUUUACAUUCUAGUCCUGGCAGUAUGACCCAGCAAACCUUUAACAACUGUACUUUUUUCAAGGUCCUAGAGGGUAAUGAUGCUUCCCUGUGACUUACUGUGACUCACCACAGUGACUUUGGCUCCAGUGUGAAGGUAAAUAUUUACUGCCUACCUGGGUCUGGGCCACAGAUUGUUACGUAAUCAAAAAAAAAAAAGUGGUUUUUGUAAAAGUGACUCAAAUGGAAAUCAAAGUUGAGCAGGGGUGGGCGGCUCUUCAAAGCCUGGCAUUUCACUGCCCUACUUGCCCAGUGCUGUGUAAUGAUGGCAGGUUUCCUCAAGACAGGCUUUGGAAAUGAGACACCCUGGGCAGGAAAACAAAAGAUGUGUCCACUUGCCAGCGGCAGCCCACAACCAACCAGAAACACCUGGAGGGUGACACCCCCUGGACACCAAUCACACUGCCAGUGACCCUUGAAGAAGUGACACUUAAUUUAUCGGUCUUCCACUUUCUUCUCAGCAAACAAAGGCUAGUCUAUGGGUUUUAGCCACCUCACUUCUUCAUGGCGUCUGGGGAGGAUGGUGGUCUCAACAGACCAAUACAUCUGCCUACCUGUGCCCACCCCAUUCCCUCUGCCGCCCUGGUCUCUGUCACCGGCCCGUGAAAUGUCAAGAGUUCCAUGGGUUUCAGGCAAACUGUACUUGGAAAGGCUUGGCCCUGUAUACAAACCGUGGCGCAUACAUUGGGACACCUUGAGCAGGACGGGCACAUGACAGGAGCUCUAGGUCUGGUUACUCUGACAAGGGUGGAAGGAUAGGUUAGAGUUCUGGGACUUAAAGGGGAGGCAUGCUUCACGUAUGAAAGUCAAGAUGUGAAUCAAGGAGAGCCUGGAACUGGAGGUGCAGAGAGAGAGGAGGAAGGACCCAGGCGCUUUGGAGCUGUAGGUGGUAGGACAGCUGCUGGAGGAACAGGGAGGAGCGGUGCGCCUGGGAGGAUGGGAGGCCUGAAAGGACAGACGUACAGGUCGUCAGGAAAGAACCUUGGGCCUGUUCACAGGAGAGCGACAGGGACAGCGUGGGCUGUUUACAGAGGUGCGCUGGGGAAUGAUCCAGAGAAAUGAGUGCCAAGAAGAUGGUGGAUUUGCAGCAGCCCUGGAGCCAGAUACUUGGAAAGCGCCGUCCCCAACAUGUCUCCCACACUUGCAUCCUGUCUUCUAGAAUGAUUUGUCAACAACGCCUGCAAGUUGUACCCAGGAUCCAAAGUUUCUCACCCUCACCCAAGGACUGUCCGUCUCCCCAACGCCCACUGGGCCUUCUCGGUUCCCUCUGGUCUAGUCCUGGUCAAUCUCGGCUACAAACUCGACGACUUUCCCUGUUGGUGUCAGCUUUCGCCCCUCAUCUCCCUCCAGCCACCCCUGGAACGAACCCCACUGAUGCCUGCCCACGCUGGGGCCUUUGCAGUCACUACGGCCUCCCCCACUUGGCUCGUGCGCCUUCUCAGAAGCCUCCCUGAGCUGCCGACCUGAAGCAGCACCCACCAGCCCCUCAGUCCCAUCACAUCACCCUGAUUUACUCUCUUUAUGGCACAUGUUCUCCAGAUCACUGCUCGUCUUGUUUGCCACAGAAUGUGAAGAGGUGGAAGGGAACGUGGAAACCAUCUACGGAGCUGCAUCUGAGCUGUAAAAGGAAGUAAUGACAGCAACCUGCUCCGGAGGAUCGUUGUGAUGGCUGCAUGAGUUAAUGCACACGGACAGUCCUGCCCAUUUGAUCCUCAUACUCCUACCAAAAAUGGUAACAAGAGACAAAGAAAGCCAUUAUUUAAAGAUAAAGGGGUCGAUUCAUCAAGAAGAUAUAACAAUUAUAAAUAUAUGCACCCAACAUCGGAGCAUAUAAAUACAUUAAGCAAAUACUAAUAGAUCUGAAUAAGGAAACAGACAACAAUACAAUAAUAGCAGAGAACUUCAAUACCCCAAUUUCAUCAACAGAUAGAUCGUGAAGACAGAAAACCAACAAGGAAACAUUGGACUUGAACCACACUUUAGGCCAGAUGAACGUAACAGCCAUAUAUAGUACAUUCCACCCAACAGCAGGAGAAAACACAUUCUUCUCAAGUGCACAUGGAACUUUUUUUAGGAUAGAUUGUAUGUUAGGUCACAAAACAAGUCUUAGCAAAUUUAAAAAGACUGAAAUAAUACCAAGUGCCUUUUCUGAUCAUACUGGUAUGAAAUUAGAAAUCAACAAGAGGAAAGCUGGAAAACUUAUAAAUAUGUGGAAAUUAAACAACAUACUCCUGAAUAACCAAUUAGUCAAAGAAGAAAUCAAAAGAAAAAUAAAAAAUCUCCAAACAGAUGAAAUGAAAACACAACAUAUCAAAACCUAUAGGAUGCUACGAAAGCAGUUUUAAGAGGAAAAUUUAUAGCAAUAAAAUACCUAUAUUAAAAAAAAAAAAAAGAUUUCAAAUAAGCAACUAGCUCUAGACUUCAAAGAACAAAUUAA
Long non-coding RNA from Pteropus alecto (black flying fox), 2957 nucleotides. RefSeq lists it as uncharacterized. NCBI's taxonomy places the organism in Eukaryota, Metazoa, Chordata, Mammalia, Chiroptera, Pteropodidae. The transcript has 3 exons. The record is from RefSeq and is a predicted model, not a curated record.